Nothobranchius furzeri (turquoise killifish) is the source of this 2331-nucleotide non-coding RNA. The record is from RefSeq and is a predicted model, not a curated record. NCBI's taxonomy places the organism in Eukaryota, Metazoa, Chordata, Actinopteri, Cyprinodontiformes, Nothobranchiidae.
GGACUCUCAUUUACUCCAGACUAGCCUCAUCUUCUUCUCUUGGAAAGUUUGGGAGGUAGUUUACCUCAGCUUUUCGUGCUCUUUUUAUGUUGGAGGGUGAUACUUCUGGGUUGUUGAUACUCCUCCUACCAGUGUUCACGGACACCUCCACGCAUCCGCUCUGGCUAGCUUGGUGCGGUAAUUUCCCAUGUAAAAUUUUAAACUGGUCUUCCAACCAUAACGUCCAUUCCUACUUCCAGGCUCAUUAAAGAGCAAGUAACGUCUAAAUUAACUUUUUUUUUUCUGAUGAACUGUAUAAAUGAGUGUCUAAUAGUGUUUUAAAUGUGUGUAUUCAUUUUUUUAGCAUUUUGGUACAUUUUCUUUAAAAAUUCUGCCUAAAUACCACAGUAUAGCGCCACCUUCAGCUUAAAACAUAGAACUUGACUCAUUUUGAAUAAAUUUUAGCCAAUGGCUAAAGAGUAAGAUACUAUGUAACCCAGUAGAGUACUACGUAGCAGCUCUGUGUCAAAGUUAUAAAAGCAACGAGCGUCUCGGCCACGCCUUGUGGCCCGUUGGGAGUUGGAUUUGCAAGUGCUCGUAGGAGGUUAGCCGUAGUUCAGCAUUAGCAUAUAGCAUUAGCAUAUCCUAGUCUUUAGCGUAGCCUUUAGUGUUAUACAUACUUAUUUAGAGUUAGCUUGGCUGUUGGAUAGUAGUUUAGUUAGUGUUUGGCUGUUAGUGUUAUUAGGAAAGUAGUUCAGGUUUAGUGCUCCAUAUCGUGGUAGUAUGCUGUGAGAAGGUGUAGUGUAGUAUGGUUGCGGUGGCUCUGUGGGGUUGUACUCCUUUCCGCUGGACUUAGAAAUUAGGCGCCAGUGGUUGUGUGUUUGGAAAACAUUCAGCUCCCGCCUGGUGCUGUAGUUUGCAACCAGCAUUUUACCCGCGAUUCUGGUCUCCGUUUGAAGAGGGAGGCUGUGCCCACCGUGGCUCUUCCGCGAUUUAGAUGCAGCCCACCGACUCUGCUCCCCCACCAUGACGGGCUCCAAUCUGAGGUGAGUAAGCUAAAUAGAAGUUAACAUCUUCUAAAGACAAUUUCCUACCUAAAUGCAAAGUUUGCGAGACGUGGUUCACUCCAUUUAGCUAAUAUCAGCCUGCACUGCCUUCGGGCAGAUUUGUCAAGUUCACAAAAUGUGGAACGGGAUGUAAGGUUAGAAUCAGUGGCGAAUCGGAACAUAUCUCGAAGCCCUGGCCGACAAAACGGUCCACAAGACUGUCAGGCUCAGAGAAAAUUUGGGUUGUUUUUGUGUCAGUCGGUAAUUCUGCAACAGUGACUCUAACUAACGCAGCACUAGUUGACAGACAUCAUUACAGCGUGAAAUCCAGCACAGCGUGACCCGGUUCCGUGAGGAAUUCUUUUCAGGAGGUCACAUUUCAGGCUCUCCACAUCAUAUGUGACUGACUUUUACGUUAUAAUAACGUUCACACACUAGGAAUGUUAUAAAGCACCUACAUAGGACAGUUUCUUUUGUAUAGUAUCUGACUUUAUAAACAACAAUGUGCUUCUAUUUUUUUUUCAGGCUAAAUCUACCCAAGACACUGGCUGUCAGACUGAUUUAGUAAUCUGCAAGAAUGCACUUGUCCAGGCUGACGUGAAGCGUUACCCGUAGCAAAGGUGAAUUAUUUUUAAUAAUCUUCUAUGUAAACAUUUUAUUACCUUCUAGUUUUAAUUUGUUUUACAGAUUGUUGCACAUGAUUUUAUGCUCUUUUAAACGUUUAUAAAUGUGCUGCUUCUUUGUUUUUUAUAGAGCUCACAGCCGCUGUGUGUCUUGUGACACAGGGACCAUGACGGAAAUUCAUCUUCCAGAAAGUCCCAGAGCAGCGUCCACACCCCUGAAAAGACCAAGAUGUGAGGUGUCUGCUGUUGAUUCCAGCUUCCACCUCAGUGACAGUGCAAGCUCAGUGAACUGUUCAAGGACACUCAGCAAAAUAUGGACUCUACACCAUGAGGCAGGCACACGUUAAUAACUCUAUAAGAGCACAUAAGCCUGGCUGAUCACCUGAUAACUCCUGUCAUCUGGUUAUGACAGCAUGAGGAUGUCCUCACACACCUGUAACCUAUCAGCUCAUCUGGCAGAAUAGAGAGAGAAGAGACACCACCACAUCUCCUGUUCCUGGAAAGCCUUCAGCCAUCCUUCAAUGACUGAGAACCUCCAUCAGCUCUGUCUCCUGUCUGCCUAAAAUUAUUAUAAUAAAUAUUGUGUUUGACAAGUUUUUUGUGCUGCCAAAUAUCUCAUUUUGAUUCCAGUUUUGAUAUUUUAAUGGAUAUUUAUAAAUGACAUUGAUUAUCACAUUUUUGUU